ACACGAAUCCCUCCCCACUAACAGGCUAACCUAUGAAACAAUAGGAGAAUUAAUGCUAGAAUGAGUAACCUGGGUUCUUCCCUCUACGACGCAAGCUUACAUCUGUACAUUAUUAACAAAUACCCAAUAUACGAUAAAUCCUACAAGCAGAGUAUUAAACACAUUGUUAACCCGACAGAGGAGCGUCCACUAAGAAAGAUUAAAACCUGUAAAAGGAACUCGGCAAACCCGUCAAGGCCCGACUGUUUACCAAAAACAUAGCCUUCAGCAAACCAAAAGACAAGUAUUGAAGGUGAUGCCUGCCCGGUGACCUAGUUCAACGGCCGCGGUAUCCUAACCGUGCAAAGGUAGCGCAAUCAAUUGUCCCGUAAAUCGGGACACGUAUGAAUGGCUAAACGAGGUCUUAACUGUCUCUUACAGGCAAUCGGUGAAAUUGAUCUCCCUGUGCGAAAGCAGGGAUAACUCCAUAAGACGAGAAGACCCUGUGGAACUUCAAAAACAGCAACCACCCCAACAUACCUUCACACCCAAAGCACUGGUUCGCAUUUUUUCGGUUGGGGCGACCUUGGAGCAAACAAACCUUCCAAAAUUGGACCAUCCAUCCAGACUGAGAGCAACCCUCAACGUGUAACAGGACCCAGACCCAAUAUAAUUGACCAAUGGACCAAGCUACCCCAGGGAUAACAGCGCAAUCUCCCCCAAGAGUCCAUAUCGACAGGGAGGUUUACGACCUCGAUGUUGGAUCAGGACAUCCUAGUGGUGCAGCCGCUACUAAGGGCUCGUUUGUUCAACGAUUAACAGUCCUACGUGAUCUGAGUUCAGACCGGAGCAAUCCAGGUCGGUUUCUAUCUAUGAUGAACUCUUCCUCGUACGAAAGGAUCGGAAAAGUGAGGCCUAUACCACAAGCACGCCUUCGCCUUAAGUAAUGAAACCAACUUAAUUACAAAAGGCUAUCACACAACACCACGUCCUAGAAAAGGACAUCA
Molecule: ribosomal RNA, 986 nt
Filed under: Heteromirafra ruddi
Lineage: Eukaryota; Metazoa; Chordata; Aves; Passeriformes; Alaudidae
Description: partial 16S ribosomal RNA
Rfam family: Bacterial large subunit ribosomal RNA
Source: RNAcentral